Molecule: ribosomal RNA, 468 nt
Filed under: uncultured bacterium
Lineage: Bacteria
Description: partial 16S ribosomal RNA
Rfam family: Bacterial small subunit ribosomal RNA
Source: RNAcentral
GACGAACGCUGGCGGUGUGCUUAACACAUGCAAGUCGAACGGUAAGGCCCUGCUAGCGUGGGGUGCUCGAGUGCCAAUCGUGUGAGUAAGAGGUGAAUAACCUGCUCUUGACUUUGGUAUAACUUCACGUAACUGGGCCUAAUACCGUAUAGCAGCUCCUGCUGCAUGGUGGGCGUUGGAACGUUUCGGCGGGCGGGGAUGGAUUCGCGGCUUACCAGCUUGUUGGUGGGGUAGUGGCUUACCAAGGCUGUGGCGGGUAGCCGGCAUGAGAGGGUGACCGGCCACAUGGGUACUAAGAGACGGACCAGUCCCGAACGGGGGGCAGCAGUGGGGAAUAUUGCCCAAUGGGAGGACGCGUGAUGCAGCAGCCCCGCGGGCGGAAGGACGGCCUGCUGGGGGUAAACCGCUUUCGCUUGAUACGAAGCGUGAGUGACGGUAACGGGUAAAGAAGCACCGGCUAACUACGUG